CCUACGGGUGGCAGCAGUGAGGAAUAUUGGUCAAUGGCCGGAAGGCUGAACCAGCCAAGCCGCGUGAAGGACGAAGGUGCCAAGCAUUGUAAACUUCUUUUGUCAGGGAACAAAAUCAGGCUCGAGAGCCUGACCGAGGGUACUUGAAGAAAAAGCAUCGGCUAACUCCGUGCCAGCAGCCGCGGUAAUACGGAGGAUGCGAGCGUUAUCCGGAUUUAUUGGGUUUAAAGGGUGCGUAGUGGGGCUGUUAAGUCAGCGGUAAAAGCCCGGGGCUAAACCCCGGCGAGCUGUUGAAACUGGCUGGCUUGAGAGGGCGAGAGGUAUGCGGAAUGCGUAGUGUAGCGGUGAAAUGCUUAGAUAUUGCGCAGAACUCCGAUUGCGAAGGCAGCAUACCGGCGGCGAUCUGACGCUGAGGCACGAAAGCGUGGGUAUCGAACAGGAUUAGAUACCCGAGUAGUC
This 459-nucleotide ribosomal RNA is filed under the name uncultured bacterium. RNAcentral describes it as "partial 16S ribosomal RNA". It matches the Rfam family "Bacterial small subunit ribosomal RNA", at positions 338 to 795 of the family's 1533-position model. The record is from RNAcentral.